CAUUAGAUGGCUGAAAGCAAGCAAUGGAAUUUUAACCCAUCUAAUAGUAAACUAGCAAUUACUUCUAAUGA
This 71-nucleotide transfer RNA is filed under the name Paulhutchinsonia pilosicollis. Its description in RNAcentral is "tRNA-Lys". Lineage: Eukaryota; Metazoa; Arthropoda; Insecta; Coleoptera; Cerambycidae. The record is from RNAcentral.